UUGAAUUUGAAUUCAAUGAUAAUUCUAAAAAUUCGCAUAUGAUUUCAAGUGUUCAAGAACCAAAGCUCGAUUUGAAACCAUUUUUUGAGAAUUUCUCUCAAUUGGAAAAGUCCGUUGCUAUACAUGAUUCUAAAGAUUGAUAUCCUUUUCUUUUUAUUUUAUUUUGUAUGUUUAUUUUCAGUUUUAUAAUGUUGUGUGUGUGUGUUUUUUUUUUUUAGGUGUGUUUCUUUUAUUAUUGCUGUUUUUUUUUUCUUUUUUUCACUAAUAAAAUUGAAGGAUCAUAUAGACACUAAUCACACUCCCAAAAACUUGCUACAACUUUAAGGUUGCAAACCCAAGUGCAGGUUGUCGCAAGUAGUAAAUCUCGG
This 368-nucleotide long non-coding RNA is filed under the name Olea europaea (common olive). RNAcentral's name for it is "long non-coding RNA (OEUR_LNC014759)". The record is from RNAcentral. Lineage: Eukaryota; Viridiplantae; Streptophyta; Magnoliopsida; Lamiales; Oleaceae.